RNAcentral lists this long non-coding RNA (2593 nucleotides) under Sus scrofa (pig). Its description in RNAcentral is "lncRNA (ENSSSCG00065061640.1)". The record is from RNAcentral. Lineage: Eukaryota; Metazoa; Chordata; Mammalia; Artiodactyla; Suidae.
GCCCGCCUCCCCUCGACUCCGCUCAGUCCUGAUGCCCCGCCUGCCUUCCUUCGAAUCCCCUGCAGCCCCCUGCGCUCCCUACGUCUCCUUCCCUCCAUCACGGGUCCCCCCAUCUCCCCUAUCCAAAAGGCUGGCGCUCCCCUUUCCCCCUCCCCUUCCCUCCAUCUCUGUGCCCCUCCUGCCACUCUACGCCACCCCUGAAUGCCGAUUUCCCACUCCCUCCCCACCCCCGCUCCGCUCCUUUCCAGGUCUUUGCCCCCCACUCCUUUCGCCUCCCCUCCCCUCCCCCGCGGUGCUGGAGAUGUCAGUGGGCUCUUUCGCUCUUGCUCUCGCUCUCCCUCUCUCUCUCGCUCGCUCUCUGUGUCGAACGGUUGGCUAAGAAGUGCUGGGGCUUUCGCUCAGACUCAAGGGGCCGCCAGGGUGGUGAACGACGCCCCCUGCCACCUGCUCCCCUCCUCAGCAUCCCUACCCCGCCGCCCGGGACGUCCAGCUGAGAUUCCUAUAUCUGGGCAGGCACCGAGGUUGGGGGUGACCUGGUGGCUCCCCUCAGCCCAUCAGGACCGAUGUCCGCGGGGUUGAGGGUGGCCUCCAACGGCAGACGCGCUUGGGCGGCGCCCGAAGGACCGAGUGCGCUCGGCGGGCGACUCCGGCACUCACUGGGCUGAGCCGGGAAGGCUGCGGCUUUGGGCGAGCGCGGCGCUAAAGUCCAUCGGGCCGGGCGGGCUAAAGUUCAGCGAGGAUGCUUUCGGGAUCUGGGAGAGGAAGGAGGGAAGACAAGAGCCCCAGGGAAGAAACCGUCUGUUUUUUGAUGUCUCUGUUUUAAUGGAGGCAACCAGUUCUCAGGAAGACCGAGUUAGGAGUGGCCACCGGCACAGUGCGGCUCAGAAAUGCACAGGUCAAAACCGUGGCUAAGAACGCUGUGUCCGGGUGUCCCGGGGGUGGGGGUGGGGGCUGCCACUUUGUUUAACAUCGGGAUACAAAAUAAUCACUAGGGUAGGGAGAUAUGCUCACCCUGCUUAUUUGUAGGCAAGAAACAAAUGCAAAAACAUAACAUGACAUCGUCUGUAACACCACAGCGCUUACGACGUAGCUCUUUCACUAGACAAAAGCCCAUUUUAUCUUCUGCAAAACCCAUCUGAACCUUUGGAACUUUCAUUUGCGGCAUUUGGGCGCCCUCUGGCUGUGUCUGGAUUGUUUUUACGCUUGCCUACAUCCCUGCAAAGAAAAACCGAUUGAGCUGCUAGUUUUCUUCCUGGAUGGUUCUGCCCUCUUGACCUGGGCUUGGAUUCCAGGGUAGAAAUGUUAUUCAAAAUGAGGUGACAAAAUGUAAGCAUAUUUAUGGGGGCAGACGCCAAAAGCAAGUGCAUCCGCCUUCAACUGGGGAAAGAUCAAGCAUCACAGAUUUCACCCUGUCAGACCAUUCCCAACAAUACUUCUUCCACUGGUCCAUUUAAUGAGAAGGAAAAUGGCUUAAACUGCAAUUCUGUCCAGAAGGCUUGGAAAGCUAGCUUCCCUACAGGACCUUCAAAGAUCCAGGACUUCAAGGUGGGAGAUAUCCAAAGGCCAAGAGGCAGAACAGGGGUUGAUUGAUCAACAGAAGCAACCACCUCCAGGCUCCCUGCCUCCAGCCUUGGCUAGAAACUUACUCUAGAGAAACUGAUCCCAAGAGACACAGGCCUGAAAGUGGGGGAAUCACCUGAGUGUUGGCCUAACGAUAGUGGAACACCCAGCCCACUCCCACAACCCGAUGCCAGAAACAUUCCCAGAACUUGGUGCCUGUACAUUCCUGCAGCCAGAAAACCCCACCCACCCCAUAGGAGAUUGGCGACGUCAUUGGAGAGAGAGUUCCCUCAUGAAAAGGCCAGUUAGCCAAAAUUUUAGUUUGACACCAUUGUGAAGCCUGCUCACCCACAGUUCUGUCCACAGAGAGCUUGCAAAUCGCUUUCAAGACCCCUGUUUAAUUACAAAAGGGCAAUCAAGGAGCACCAAGUUUUAAGAAAAUGUGUAACAAGAAUUAAAGGAGACCGGAGUUCCUGUCGUGGCUCAGUGGUUAACAAACCAGACUAGGAUCCAUGAGGAUGCGGGUUCAAUCCCUGGCCUUGCUCAAUGGGUGGGGGUUCCAGCAUUGCUGUGGUUGUGAUGUAGGCCAGCAGCUGUAGCUCUGAUUCGACCUCUAGCCUGGGAAGGGAACCUCCAUAUGCCAUGGGUAUGGCCCUAAAAAAAAAAAAAAAAAAAAAAAAAAAAAGGACACAUGUUUUAAACAAAUUCCUAGAAAGAAACAGCAUACUGAAUACCGUACUAAUAAAGCAAGCACAGACAAGCCACAGGCAAAUAGCAGGGCAGAUCCACCUGUACUCAGCAUGAGGUAAAACUAAGAGUAAUCAAGUCACCUCUGACAAUAAGCUGGACAAAAAGUUUUAAGUGAGCAGGAAGCUGCAUUGUCAUGAGGAUUUGCACGCACUGUUAUUCAAGAAGAACCCCACCCCAAAUGUGAAACGUGCCUCGAGGGGACAGCUAAUGGCAAGAUCGAGCGCCAUAAUUCACAAGACAUCUAAAAACACUUUCUGUUUCUGCUUAAACUCAUCUUUGAAAA